This 703-nucleotide small RNA is filed under the name Oryza sativa Japonica Group (Japanese rice). RNAcentral describes it as "sRNA Os08g0546600". The record is from RNAcentral. Lineage: Eukaryota; Viridiplantae; Streptophyta; Magnoliopsida; Poales; Poaceae.
UGUUUAGAAUGUAUGUCACCUAGGAAUUAUUUGAGGGACAAUAUUUUGUCAAGCUUAAAGAUUGCAAGGGCUAUGGUGCUUUAAGGUGCUGAGAUAUUGCACACCCCAUGAUAAUUUGCCUCGACUUCCAUGAACACCGGGAGUGUGUCUGUGUCAUGCAAGGCCAUGUUGGCGCUAGCUUGGUACUGUUUUUUUUUCUGCAAACCAUUUGAGAAUAAAUUGUUUGAAAUGAUCUUAUUCCAAAGGAUCCAAGGUGGCAUUAGAGAAGCAUCCUUUUUAAUUUCCAUGCUGAGAAUUUUUCUUUUCAUCACAAUUGAUACAUAUUACCUUGCAAAAUAACAUUUUAUCUUGCACUUUAAGGUUGGUGAGAAUAUGGCAAAUCUUUUCACUUAUAGCUAUUUUCACUCAAUUGCCAGCUACCAGCUACCAGAGCAUCACCAACCUCCAAGUGAAGAAUAGACAAAUUACAUGGCAAUUGUUCCACUUUGUUAAAUAUUAGUGACACAUGUUGCAAGAUCUUAAGUUAUUUUAUUUAUUGAACCUCCUAGGUGUUACCACAAUAUAUAUUGAUGUAUUUUCAUUAAGAACAAUGUAAAGAUAUUGUUCAUCUAAUGUAAAGAUAUUGAUGUGGUUCUGCUCAGUGAAUUUCUGAUUUUUACAUUAAUUUUUAUUUUGUAUGGAAAUAAAAAUGAGGUUUCACUGC